UGAGGAAUAUUGGUCAAUGGGGGCAACCCUGAACCAGCCAAGUCGCGUGAAGGAUGAAGGUCUUAUGGAUUGUAACUUCUUUUACACGGGAAUAAAGUGGGGGACGUGUCCCCCUUUGCAUGUACCGUGUGAAUAAGGAUCGGCUAACUCCGUG
This 154-nucleotide ribosomal RNA is filed under the name uncultured Bacteroidota bacterium. Its description in RNAcentral is "uncultured Bacteroidetes bacterium partial 16S ribosomal RNA". It matches the Rfam family "Bacterial small subunit ribosomal RNA", at positions 355 to 507 of the family's 1533-position model. The record is from RNAcentral. Lineage: Bacteria; Pseudomonadati; Bacteroidota.